This 168-nucleotide non-coding RNA is filed under the name Foraminifera environmental sample. Lineage: Eukaryota; Foraminifera. The record is from RNAcentral.
ACGAUACAUACCGGAAACACCUCAAUCAACAACCAAGUGACAUUGAAUAUAUACAAAAUGUGAAGAUUGGGUGUCCAUUUUUGUGGUGGUGAGUGUGGUGGUUGUUGAUUGCAUGUUGGCUCAAUCUUAUUCAAUUUAUUUUUUAUUUGUUCAUUUCUUUUCGUUGUC